AGAGUUGGAACAUGUAUUUUGAUAAGUAAAGUAAUUAGAAUAUAUGGCUUCAUUGAGAAUAAAGAAGAACCUUGCAUAUACAAAUGGGUUAAUCAUUCUGUAGUUGUAUUUUUUAUUUUAUAUAUGGAUGAAAUUUUCUUAAUCGAGAAUGACAUCUCUUACAUUAUAGAAAAUAAAAGUUUGGCUGUCAUCAUUGUUCCCCAUGAACGACUUGAGAAAAGCAUCCUAC
RNAcentral lists this long non-coding RNA (229 nucleotides) under Elaeis guineensis (African oil palm). Its description in RNAcentral is "long non-coding RNA (EGUI_LNC047265)". Lineage: Eukaryota; Viridiplantae; Streptophyta; Magnoliopsida; Arecales; Arecaceae. The record is from RNAcentral.